Molecule: non-coding RNA, 684 nt
Organism: Meleagris gallopavo (turkey)
Lineage: Eukaryota; Metazoa; Chordata; Aves; Galliformes; Phasianidae
Source: RefSeq, a predicted model, not a curated record
GCGAUUAAAAUUAAAUGGAUAACUCCGUUAACUUCUGGAUACUCAUUCCUGCACGAGGGAAGCCAUAGCCAUCUUCUUUAAAAACUGCUUUCUGCUGUAGCUUGCUGGGGAGAGCACUGCAGCUUCUCAGGGCUUUCUGAGCAAUUGCAAGGAAAGUUGAACUCCUUCAGUGUGCAGAUGAUAUUUUUCUCUUUACCUCGAGUUGUUUGGUUUUUCGUGUGGUACUUAAAACGUUGUUGCAUUUCUUUAGGCUGUUAAUUCCUAUGCUUUCAGUAACUGCUCCGUUGUAGUCUGUCCUUCAGAUCUCGGGUGCUGUAGCUGCUUGCCACAACAGCAUGUUUUCCUGUGUUUAGGAACCAACUGGUGAACCAUCUCCUAAAAGACCAAGAGGAAGACCCAAGGGAAGCAAAAACAAGAGUCCCUCUAAAGCAGCUCAGAAGAAAGCAGAAGCCACUGGUGAAAAGCGACCCCGAGGGCGGCCCAGAAAAUGGCCUCAACAAGUGGUUCAAAAGAAGCCUGCUCAGGAAGAGACUGAAGAAACAUCCUCACAAGAAUCUGCAGAGGAAGACUAGGAGACCGCACCAUGCAAUUUCUACCUCAUCAGCAGUUGGGUCUUUUGAAGGGAGAAGACACUGCCUUGACCACUUAUUUUCUAUUGCCAUGGUCUUUCCACUUUUGCCUGGG